RNAcentral lists this ribosomal RNA (563 nucleotides) under Glomeromycotina sp. Its description in RNAcentral is "SSU rRNA". It matches the Rfam family "Eukaryotic small subunit ribosomal RNA", at positions 548 to 1113 of the family's 1831-position model. Lineage: Eukaryota; Fungi; Glomeromycota. The record is from RNAcentral.
UUGGAGGGCAAGUCUGGUGCCAGCAGCCGCGGUAAUUCCAGCUCCAAUAGCGUAUAUUAAAGUUGCUGCAGUUAAAAAGCUCGUAGUUGAAUUCCGGGACCAAUAUGUCGGUCGUGCCUCGGUACGUACUGACAUCGUUGGUUUCUCCCUUCUGACGAACCAUGAUGUCAUUCAUUUGGUGUCGUGGGGAAUCAGGACUGUUACUUUGAAAAAAUUAGAGUGUUUAAAGCAGGCUCACGCUUGAAUACAUUAGCUUGGAAUAAUGAAAUAGGACGUUUGAUUCUAUUUUGUUGGUUUCUAGGAUCGACGUAAUGAUUAAUAGGGAUAGUUGGGGGCAUUAGUAUUCAAUUGUCAGAGGUGAAAUUCUUGGAUUUAUUGAAGACUAACUACUGCGAAAGCAUUUGCCAAGGAUGUUUUCAUUAAUCAAGAACGAAAGUUAGGGGAUCGAGGACGAUCAGAUACCGUCGUAGUCUUAACCAUAAACUAUGCCGACUAGGGAUCGGAUGAUGUUAAUUUUUUAAUGACUCAUUCGGCGCCUUACGGGAAACCAAAGUGUUUGGGUU